GACGUAGGGCGCGAGCGUUGUCCGGAUUUAUUGGGCGUAAAGAGCUCGUAGGCGGCUUGUCGCGUCGGCUGUGAAAACCCGUGGCUCAACUGUGGGCGGGCAGCUGAUACGGGCAGGCUGGAGUUCGGUAGGGGAGACUGGAAUUCCUGGUGUAGCGGUGAAAUGCGCAGAUAUCAGGAGGAACACCGGUGGCGAAGGCGGUUCUCUGGCAAUGUUCUGACGCUGAGGAGCGAAAGUGUGGGGAGCGAACAGG
Molecule: ribosomal RNA, 253 nt
Filed under: uncultured bacterium
Lineage: Bacteria
Description: partial 16S ribosomal RNA
Rfam family: Bacterial small subunit ribosomal RNA
Source: RNAcentral